ACUCCUGCGGGAGGCAGCAGUGGGGAAUAUUGGACAAUGGGCGCAAGCCUGAUCCAGCCAUGCCGCGUGAGUGAUGAAGGCCCUAGGGUUGUAAAGCUCUUUCACCGGUGAAGAUAAUGACGGUAACCGGAGAAGAAGCCCCGGCUAACUUCGUGCCAGCAGCCGCGGUAAUACGAAGGGGGCUAGCGUUGUUCGGAUUUACUGGGCGUAAAGCGCACGUAUGCGGACUAUUAAGUCAGGGGUGAAAUCCCGGGGCUCAACCCCGGAACUGCCUUUGAUACUGGUAGUCUUGAGUUCGAGAGAGGUGAGUGGAAUUCCGAGUGUAGAGGUGAAAUUCGUAGAUAUUCGGAGGAACACCAGUGGCGAAGGCGGCUCACUGGCUCGAUACUGACGCUGAGGUGCGAAAGCGUGGGGAGCAAACAGGAUUAGAAACCCGAGUAGUCCCAUG
RNAcentral lists this ribosomal RNA (448 nucleotides) under uncultured organism. Its description in RNAcentral is "partial 16S ribosomal RNA". It matches the Rfam family "Bacterial small subunit ribosomal RNA", at positions 335 to 799 of the family's 1533-position model. The record is from RNAcentral.